This is a non-coding RNA of Phasianus colchicus (ring-necked pheasant), 218 nucleotides long. The record is from RefSeq and is a predicted model, not a curated record. Lineage: Eukaryota; Metazoa; Chordata; Aves; Galliformes; Phasianidae.
UGACAGCCUGCGGGCGGACCACCGCUCCUCCGGUGCAGCGACUCGGGCGGCGCGGGGAUUCUGUCGCCAUUGCUUCUUCUGCAGGAUUAUGAAAACUACUGGGGGAAGGAAACUCAACUGACUCAACCUGUAAGGCACCACACCUUCACAGCACUCUUAAAAAUACAGACAGAUAGAGAUAUUGGUAUCAAUACACCUCCUGCAAAGUAUGUGAAUGC